Molecule: ribosomal RNA, 240 nt
Filed under: uncultured bacterium
Lineage: Bacteria
Description: partial 16S ribosomal RNA
Rfam family: Bacterial small subunit ribosomal RNA
Source: RNAcentral
UAAUGUCUGGGAAACUGCCUGAUGGAGGGGGAUAACUACUGGAAACGGUAGCUAAUACCGCAUAACGUCGCAAGACCAAAGAGGGGACCUUCGGGCCUCUUGCCAUCGGAUGUGCCCAGAUGGGAUUAGCUAGUAGGUGGGGUAACGGCUCACCUAGGCGACGAUCCCUAGCUGGUCUGAGAGGAUGACCAGCCACACUGGAACUGAGACACGGUCCAGACUCCUACGGGAGGCAGCAUG